CAUUCACAACAACAUAACUUCCGGGUUACAUACGCUCGUAUCACUUUUUUCUUGGGUGGAUUUUUUACCUGGCAAAAUGUAACGAAGAGGAUAUAAAUUUCAUACAGACGCCUUAAAGGUUGCCGGGGUUGUGCUGCAAGGAUACCGUGUUUCUGACGACCGACACCGGACUGCAAUGUGCAACACGACGCUUUUGUUGAAAAGAGAAGGAGGAUUCUUGUGGUUUUACAAGCACCUCCAGCUCCAGGAGGCCCCACUUGUACAUGUAAAGCUCCAUCCCUGUCUGACCCCGUGCAUCCAGCAGUCCAGUGCACUGGCCAGCUAGCAGGCGCACAAUCAGCAGAAGGUGGCGGUAAUGCACACCAAAAGGACAGGAAACUAGCUAGGUAGCUUGCCUCAGCCCGGGAAAGGGUUUGUUCGCUUCUUUUUUUUCCUGUUUUUUCCAUGUUAUUAUAUAAAUACUGAUUCUGAAGAUGAUGUUGUAGUGCAGAGGUUUGGAGUUGCUUGGAGACAAGUAUUCGAAGCUAAAAGUGUCCCAUUACUUUUGUCCACAUCGUGUAUUUUAGAAAUUCAGCAGAAUAAAUGGAAGGCUCCAACUUACAAAUUUAACCUCCUCCGCUGUGACGUCGUGGUGGACCCUGUAGCCGCUGCCGUUGCUGCGGGGGUCGUGACCUUUGCCUUGACCUUUGCCCUGCGCGUGGCCGGUGUGGUAGCGGAUGAACCUGGAGCGUCGCACGAGCAGGUGAAGCAGGAAGCACAGCAUUUCCAUGGCGAUAGAGACGAGGAAGAAGAUGAGCGUGUUCCUCCUCUCGUCCGGGAUCAGCAGCUUGGUGAAGAUGCGAGACAAGGAGAUGAUGACCCCCGCCGUGCCUGGGCGCAUGGUGAAGAAGGAGGAUGUGAAAACAGGAAUCGGAGGGGAAAAUAAUUUGAUAAGAGCGGAUGUUUCCAUACUUACUCUCUCCGGUCAUCACCCCUUGUGUGUACCUCUUGGGCAGCAUCCCCAUGUAACCAUAGAAACUGGACUGCUGCACUGGAAGCAGAUGAGGAAGUGCGGACAAUAACAGUCCACGUGUUACACUCUUCCUGAAAUAUCAUCGAGAUUUGGAUGACGCGCACCGACAGACAAGUUUUUAAGACGGGGGUGUCCAAACGUUUUCCACUGAGGGCCACAUAGUGAAGAAUGAAAGGAUGCAAGUAAGGGCCACGUUGAUAUUUAGCCAAGUUGAUAGCUAAGACGUUAUACUGUAAGGUUGAUAUGCUAACACGUUAUACUGUAAAGUUGAUAGCUAAGACGUUAUACUGUAAAGUUGAUAUGCUAAGACGUUGUACUGUAAAGUUGAUAUGCUAAGACGUUAUACUGUAAAGUUGAUAUGCUAAGACGUUAUACUGUAAAGUUGAUAAGCUAAGACGUUAUACUGUCAAGUUGAUAGCUAAGACGUUAUACUGUAAAGUUGAUAAGCUAAGACGUUAUACUGUCAAGUUGAUAGCUAAGACGUUAUACUGUAAAGUUGGUAGCUAAGACGUUAUACUGUAAAGUUGAUAUGCUAAGACGUUAUACUGUAAAGUUGAUAAGCUAAGACGUUAUACUGUGAAGUUGAUAUGCUAAGACGUUAUACUGUAAAGUUGGUAGCUCAGACGUUAUACUGUGAAGUUGAUAUGCUACGACGUUAUACUGUAAAGUUGAUAUGCUAAGACGUUAUGCUGUCAAGUUGAUAUGCUAAGACGUUAUACUGUGAAGUUGAUAUGCUAAGACGUUAUACUGUAAAGUUGAUAGCUAAGACGUUAUACUGUAUGUACAGUAUUUCAAGAAAAAUCUCAGCUUUAAUACUUCAACUCUAUGCUACUAAAACAUCAUUUUUCCAUCAUAUUACCAGUUUAUUCUCGUAAAAUUACAGCCGUUUUUAAAGUUUCCAACAAUUUCAAAUUUCUUCUAUAUUUAUAUUUCUAUUCUAAUAUUUUCACCUCAUUCCCACAAUGUUAGAACUUUCUACCCAGCCUAAUUGUCCAAAAUGUACAACUUUAUUUUGUUUUGUUUGCUUCUCUUAAUGUUAUGAUCUUUUUUCUUUCAUAUUUAAACUCUGUGCUACUAAAAUGAAGGUAUUCUCCUAAAAUUACAACAUUCCUUGUUAGAAUAUAACUUUCUUCUCUUAAUAUUUUGACUUUGUUUUUUUAAAUGACAGCAUUUAAUCCAUUUUUUGUUGUUGUUUUUUUUUAAAUCUACCAUCUAUUUCAGCUUUCUUCUUUUAAUAUUAUGACUUUAUUCCCAUAUUUUCACCUUAUUCCUAUAAUAUUAUAUUAUUAUUAGGGAUGUCUGAUAAUAUCGUACUACUAAUAUUAUCGUCCUGAUGUUGGCAUAAAAGUGGUUCUUGAUACUGAUAUCGGUAUGGGGGUUUUCCGUAUAAUGAAAACCGAUUAUUCAAAAAAACAAAAAAACAAAACCUGCUGUAUAUAGGCAUACAGGCUGCCGUACUUGCUGUCAUCUCGGCAUCCAGCGGCGCCAAUACGUGGAAAUACUUCGUCACGUCCUGUGUUAUUCCUCGCAGUCGGAAGUGGGCGUGAUAUGUUGAAAGCACGGGCGUGGGUGUGCCGCACAUGGCAUCGACCUCGGCUAACUCAGCAUGGUCUCGUCGUCUCUGUUGUCAGUCGACAUUUUUACCCACGUCGAGGGUCACCAAAUGUGGAGAUGCGAUACACAACGGGACAGAGUCGAGGUAGGUGGCACCCAUCGGUUUACUCUCCACUCAACUCAACAACAAGCAACAAUUUUUUAGCAAAUGCUAAGUGGCCACAACAACCUCAUGACCUGGAAAAGGAAGAUAGAUAAAUAGAUACUUUAUUCAUCUCCAAGAGAAAUGGAUAACACAUAUCGGUAUCAGGAUUGGUUGAGAUUGGAAUCGGAAAUUGAGAGUUGGCCAAUAUCCGCAUAUCGGUUGUCGGCAAAAAAGCCAAUAUCGGACAUCCCUAAUUAUUAUAUAUUAUUAUGUCAAUACUUUUUCUCCAAACUAAUUUUCCAAAAAUUACAACCUUGUUUUGUUUGUUUCUCAUAAUAUUAUGACUUUUUUUUCUUUAAUAUUGAUUUCUUUAAUAUUUAAUAAUGAUGUUAUUUUUUCCCAAAAUAUAAUAUAAUAUCAAGUUAUUCUCGUAAAAUGAUGAGUUUUCCUUGUUACAAUACAACAUUUUUGUCUUCAUAUUUUGACUUCAUUCUUUGACUUCAAAAUUACUGUUGAUUUUUCCAUUGUUGCUGCUUUUGUUGGCUAAGAAAAAAAAUAAAUUCAGCUGUGGCGCUGCAAAUGUCUCCUGAGCCGCACUUUGGACACCCCCGCUUUAAGCUUAUUAAUUCCAUGGAAGGGUCUCCUUUAAAUGUAAGACGUGUAUUUGUGUCGUGCUUGAGACCCUGAUGCUGUGUUAGCAUGCAAAUAGGAGGCAGUGGACAUGUCAGCAAACAUCCAUUCAUUAGUGUGCAUGUUGCUGUCCCCCUGAUGACUAAAAGCACAUGUUCACAUGUUCAGCAGUGCUAGCAGCUUUCAACCUUCUGUAAUCACACGCUGCGCAUGGACACCAAGCAAGGACGUUGUUGGAUGGAUGAAUGGAUGGCUAGCAUCACGUCAGAUGAUCUCAGGUCUCCCAGCCCUUCUGGGAAACAUGAGCUUGGAGUCCUUCAAGUUUUGGGUGUCUUCACUGUUUGGACUUUUGGACGGAUGGAUGGACAGAAGUGGAUGACGGAUGAUGGUAUGGAUGGACGGACAUGGUGACGGACAGACACACAGAUGGACUGAUGGAUGGAUAACAGACGAGCGGAUGGACAGCUGACUUAGAUGUAUGUCUUACCCGUGCAUCCAAAGGCGACAAUUCCCACUGAGACCAGGUUGAUGACAUAAGCCUGACUGGUGGUGAACUUGGCCAACCACACGUCAAACACGCUGACAAACACCAGAGGCCCCAAUGCUAAGAUGUAGCCUGCACACAGACGCACAUCACACAUAUGGUGAAGCCUCGUUUUUUUUUUUUCCCCAUACACUGUCUCGGUUAUCGUACGUCCAAACAGUGCGCCUAACAAACUCCUCGAGUGCCCAAACGAAGCAGCCAGGCGUUGGUGACUCAGUCUCUGUGAAGAAUAGAUAGUGGUGGACUCUAUAGACAGAUUCCAGCCAGGGAAUCCUUUCGUCAUCUUUAUUAUGUGCUUUAUUUGCCCAAAGAACGCACGCAGAGCGACUCAUUUCUGUCUCCUUCCUUCCUCCUUCCAAGCAGUGUGCCAUGCACUGAUGAGGUGUUCAAGCACACUGUGUAUUUCUGAGUGUAAGAGGAAUUUGUGCUUUUUUAAAAAAUUGAAUAAAGGUUGCACGUGCAAGAACUUUGAUGAAGAAGGUGAUAAACAUGUACAACGUUAGCGUCUGUUACACUAGGAUUGUAAUUGAAAGGUUCCUAGUUAACACGGGUUGCAGGAGGAAUGGAUUAACGGAGACACAUAAUAGAUUGUGAGCUGGGCUCGUGUGUGUAAUGAUGAUUGUAACUUCUGCUGACGGUUACAGUCAAGUUCAAUCAAGUGAGCAAGUAUACAGCUCAUUUGUGGCUUUCGUCUAACCUUUUGGAAGAAAAUGAGGAAAAGCGAGGUUCCACUGUACAUUCAUUAGUAGCUCAUGGCUAAACAUCGUGAGAACAUUGGAUCAGGUGACAGUUAAUAGACUAAGAUGCGACAAAAGAAGUGUGUGUGUCUGCAAAUGUUUGUGUUACACACCCACAGUGAUCCUGGUGUGCAUGCUGAGUCUCUCCACCAGCACGUUGUUGAGGAUGACAGCCAGCAGCGCCACCAGGAUGUACGUCAGACUCAUGUCGAACACGAUGGAUGUCCCUGAAACAUGCAUGUGUUCACACAGUGUGUCUUCAGUCCUCUCAGAGACCCAUUUUUGGUGCGUAUUUUAUACCAGUGAACUUGUGGUGAAGGUAGUCCACAUCUGUGAUGAAGCUGUUGUAGGGCAGCAGGAAGCCAACCCCAGCCAAUAGCAUUGCAAAGUAGAUGCCAUGGUAACGGUCGUCAGGGAUCGGCUCCUCAAAGUCUGAGCGGGAAGGUAGGAAAUGAAAAGAAUAUGAAAUCAGACCCGAGAGCUUCAUUCAAGCUAAUUUGGAGGAAAUACAGGAAGGUUUUCUGUUUUCACUUUUACAUGAAAUACCAUGGCCUUGAUGUGAUAUGGCACCCGGAGUCAGUACUUCAUUGGGCAUCUUGGUUAAUUGGGUCCAGACCCAACCGUGAUAUAUGAAUUUCCACAAAGUAAGGUUCUGGAUUUAUACAUCAAAUAUUUUUUUAGUUAGAGCAUAGAAAACCUCUUCACAACCUUCCAACGACGACUUUUAACAUCAUUAGAGCCCCCUAGACAUGAAAUAACACCCCUAUAGUCACAUUUACGCUCCUAUUACCCAAUAUAGUAGACAUAAUGAGAGAAAAUGAAGACAUUAUAGACAAAAUAAGACUCUUGUGUUGAUGAAACGAGUUCCAGUGCUACAGGAGCUGAGUGGAUGGUGGACAGGAAGUGACGUCGGGGUUCAGAGUUGAGUUUUAGCUUGUUGUGGG
Long non-coding RNA from Dunckerocampus dactyliophorus (ringed pipefish), 5566 nucleotides. RefSeq lists it as uncharacterized. The record is from RefSeq and is a predicted model, not a curated record. NCBI's taxonomy places the organism in Eukaryota, Metazoa, Chordata, Actinopteri, Syngnathiformes, Syngnathidae. The transcript is spliced from 3 exons.